ACAAGUGAAGGAGAGUCCUGGAUUUCAUGUCUACAAUGACAGCUAGAAGUUUUCCGAUUUUUGUAGCCAUUUUACUUCUUGUUGCGAUGCAAUCACGCACCAUUCAAUCAAAACCAAGUGGAGAUCCUUUUGGGUUCAUCAAACACCUGGAGGGAUGCCACAAGAAUGAAUCUGUCAAAGGGCUUCAUGAGCUAAAAAGAUAUCUUGAGAAAUUUGGAUACUUGAAGUAUGAUCAUCAAGGAAAGAAGGGCCAUGACCAUGCCAAUGACGAUGAGUUCGAUGAUCUUUUAGAGUCAGCAAUCAAGGCAUACCAGCAGAACCAUCAUUUGAACGUUACAGGAAGCCUAGACAACAGUACAGUGCACGAAAUGAUGCAGCCUCGAUGUGGCGUGCCAGAUGUUGUCAAUGGCACAAAGCAUUACCAUACUCACAAGUCCAUCCACACACUGGCUCACUACAAUUUCAUUCCUGGAAAUCCUAGAUGGACAAAACGGCAAUUGACGUACACGUUUCGUUCCAGUGUCCAAGUCCCGGCUGCACAGAACAUAAGGUCCAUCUGCGCAAAAGCUUUUCAAAGAUGGGCACAGGUCACGGAAUUCACUUUUCAGGAAGUUACCGGUAGCUCCCCUGCAGAUAUUGUAAUCGGAUUCCAUCGCGGAGACCAUAACGAUGGUUCCGCCUUCGACGGUCCUCAAGGGGUCUUAGCCCAUGCUACUUCACCAGCUAGGAAUGCAAUGUUCCAUUUCGAUGCGGAUGAAAAAUGGAGUGAAAACCCAGGACCUAACCAGAUGGACCUGGAAUCUGUAGCCGUGCAUGAAAUAGGACAUCUUCUCGGUCUCGACCACAAUGAUGAUCCAAAUGCCGAUGCCAUCAUGUCUUCCAGAAUUUCUUUUGGGAUUGCGAAAAGGGAUUUGCGUGCGGAUGAUAUUCAGGGUGUACGAGCUUUAUACGGAUUCGCUAAAUGAAGCACGUACGAAAGGAGAAUGAUGCUUGCAGUUUCUAUUAUCUAAAUUAAGAAUAAAUUUCCAUCAGUUUCUAGUUACGAAUUUGUGUUUAAUUAGGCCAUCCUGAUCGAUCUUAGAGAGGUGGUUAGAGUCUUUAUUUGCAAGUUUCUCCUUGCAAGCCUAAGACUAUUUUGUAAACCAUUUCUUCAAGAUUGUAAAUAAAUUAUGUUGGCAAAAUACAAAUAAAAGCUGAUUAUUUGGACGAGUCUCUUCAAGGUCUAUUUGUGCAGCCAGCCAGCCGCAUGCUGUCUGUGUCACAGAGCAUUACCGCAGGCAUAAUAAUUCCAUCCAUACUGUACUCUAUAUUUUGAUCCGACGAAACCCAAGAUGUCCACCAGAGAAAAGACAUUUAAUUAAUGUAUAUGAAUUGGGAUCGGUUCUAGCUAGUGGUCAAGUCCAUCGCACAGACGCACACAGAGCAUAACGUCUAUCGGCUGCAAUCUGUGGAGAAGCUUUUCAAAUACAGAGACAAGUUUGCCCAAUUUGUUUUGAUAAUGCACAAAUCGAAUUGCCAUAUGCAAACCCUCUCUCCCCCACAACUCGAACAAUUAUUAUUUUUUUCAUUGAACACUUCCACGGAUUUUUUCUUGGCUUGGUGCGAGCAACAAAGUACAAACGUAGCUAUCUUGCUUAUACUGAACAAGAAGACCACCUCAGCUUAACUAUGAAUUAUCCCUCUUGUAUUAUUUGGAUGUCGUUUCAAGGCACUUGAGCCAUUAAAAACGGUGAGCAUGAACCCUAUGAACUUUUUUCUUUAUUGAAAGAAAAAAAAUCAUCACAAAUAAUUACCUAUUCUCUCGAGGUAUUAUUUUUAAUUGCUAGGUAAACUGCAUGCUUUCAUCAUCAUUAUCUAGAAUCUGAAUUUAAAGAAAGGCUAUAAGAAAAAAAAAAUCUCAUGAACAGAUAGGUAUGGAUAUGACUGACCUGUUUUAAGAACCAAUCAAGAAAAAAAAUUAAUCUCACGCAUGAAAACUUUCUCUGAUACCUGCCCGAUGGAGAAAAUAAUAAUUGAGUGAUGUGGAAUGGUUUUAGGAUUUCAGCCACACAUUUUAACGAAAAGGCUAAAAAAUAUCAUCACAUCACACUAUACAUUGAUUCCAGUCUAUUCAACUAAUGAAAGAGGAACCUUCAUCAUCAACAAAUAAAAAAUUUGUGAAGAAUUUUUAAAAUUAUUUUAUUAUAUUGAAAGAAACAAAAUAUUUAUGUAUUGAAGUGAAAUUUGUAUAAUUGGUCCAAUAAUAACGAAAACCUCUACAUCACUACGUAGUUUCAAUCAAUUCAUGAAUUCAGUAUAUUCAACUUUUUGAUUUCCUUUAUCUGUUGUUAAAUUUAUCAGUAAUUUUAUUAUUAAUAAAUUUAUUAAUAAAUUAAAAAUCACCGAUAAUAAUUUUUUUAAUGAAAUAUUUCUGUACGUCCGUGAAUAAAUGUAAAUGUAAAGAUUCUGUUAGUGUCACGAUGUUCAAUAAUUGAAAGAAUUCAGUCCAUACAUGACAAUAUCCAUGGAAAAGUUGAAAACCAUACCUUAACAUCUCUGAUUGAAAUGUUAAAACGUCAACGACAUGUUAGCUUUCUGUCAAUUUAUGCUUGAAAAAACAUAAUGGAUACCCUUAGGAGAUCAUAUCUUCUGGUUGGGGCAUUAUAUAUUUAUGUACGUGGAGUUUCAUGAUCAUACCUGAAGAAGUCCUAACCAAUUGAAGGAGGCUUCCAAGUAUGGCAGAAAAAACCUUCAAAUUUCUAGUAUCCCUUUUUCUUCUCCUAGUGAUUCUGAUAAAAUUUGUCCAGUCAGAACCAACUGGGCACCAUCCAUUCAAAUCCAUCCUGAACCUUGAGGAAAGCCAAAAAGGUCAAUCUGUUUCCAAGCUGCACCUUGUAAAACAGUAUCUGAAGAAAUUUGGAUACUUGGAUUAUGAUCUUUCAAGUAGCAAGAACCUGAACCAGGUUGACGAUGACGAGUUCGAUGACCAUUUGGAGUCUGCAAUCAGAACCUACCAGCAAAACUUUCAUUUGGAAGUCACUGGAAGGCUAGACAAACGUACUGUGAAUCAAAUGAUGAAGCCUAGAUGUGGCGUGGCUGAUAUCUUCAAUAGCACAAAGCACCGCAAUACUUCCAAGUCUUCUGAUGGGGUGGCCAAUGCUGACUAUUCGUUCUUCCCUGGAGCCCCCAGAUGGUCCAAAAACCAUUUGAAGUACACGUUUGGCGCAACCGUCCAAGUCGCCGGUGCAGAGAGUAUAAGGUCCGUUUGCAAACAAUCCUUUCAAAAAUGGGCACAAGUUACUGACUUCACGUUCGAAGAAGUGCCUAAUUCUGACGAUGCUGAUAUUAAAAUCGCCUUUUACCAACUAGACCACGGAGAUGAUGAACCAUUUGAUGGCCCUGGAGGAAUCUUUGCCCAUGGUUUUAGACCAACUAUCGGGAUGCUCCAUUUUGAUGCUGAUGAAACUUGGAGCAGCAAUCCUGGACGUCAAGAGCUAGACCUGGAAUCCGUCGCUGUGCAUGAAAUAGGUCACUUACUCGGACUUGGUCACAGCGGAGACCAUCCAGAUGCAAUCAUGUAUCCAUACUUUGAUUAUGGAAAGACAAAAAGGAGUCUGCAAGAGGAUGACAUCGAAGGUAUCCGUGACCUCUAUGGACUUUGAUUAAAAGCCACAUAUCACUAAAAGAUUAUUAUGGCCUGCUGUUGUAUUAGCAAAUAAAGGAUUUGUAAGUGGAUUUUAAAAUAUGUGAAGAAGUCACUUCCACAUAAUCUUAUCUCCUUGUAAUCGUAGAAUAAUUGCAAUUGAAGUUUUCCAGCCUGCAUGUUUCUUUCUAGAUAUAAUUAGUGUUCAGGAAUUUGGAGUUUGACAGAAGCCUAUUUUGCUAACCAGAUUUUAAUUUUUCGAGUUCUGCAAUCAACCAAAAGAGCAGUGGCAAUUAGAACUAAAUUCGGAAAAUUUAUCUGUAGGAAGCUGGGGGCAUUCUCUCUUCUUCUAACAUUAAUAAGAAUUCUAAGCCCCCCAAAUCACCUGCUAUUAUGCAGCACAGAUGGUCGAAACCCAGAUGAAGUUAGCACGAGUGGUCCAAUAAUAUUACAAAACCUCUACAUCAGUACCGAAGUUUCAAUCAAUUCAAGCUGUCCAAUAAUUUAGCCCAUGAAUGACAAAACCUGCCGCAAAACUGAAAACCAUACCUUAACGACUCUUAUGGAAAUGUCAUAAUAAGCACAUCAACAGCAUGUUAGCUUUCUGUCAAUUUAUGCCUGAAAAAUCAUACUGGAUACCUUUACGAGGAUAUUAUCUCCUGGUUCAGGCACUGUAUAUUUAUGUGGAGUUUCAUGUUCAUACCUGAACAAGCCCUAACCAACUGAAAAGAGGCUAGCUCCCAAGUAUGGCUGAAAACAAAGUACUCGAAUAUGCUCCUUUUAUAUAUAUAUAUAUAUGAACUUGCACAUCACACUAAAAUGUGAUUUACUUCACAGCUGAUACAUUAAAAAUUAAUUUCACUAAUCACAUUCUUCUCUAUAACAUAAACUUGAAAAAAAUCUUUAAAAAAUAAGAACAAGUUUGAUAGAUAACGUAUUUUCGCCGACUCAAAUUGAAUAAAAUUUGAAAUUUAUUUUAAAUAAAAAGAUUUACUAGAAAACAAAAUCGAUUAAAUUACUUAAAUAGUGGAAAUCAAUUCCAGCAUAAAAUUGGUUUCGAAAGGCAGCAAAGGGACAACAAUAAUUUGACUCAUCGAGCCACUAGAGAUGAUUAUCUCCGGUGACUCAUUAACGGCUGUUAAUUAAUACUGGAGUCUGGGCCUCUAAUUCCUUUUUCUGUUUUCUGCACCUACUUGGGCUGACGUAGAGCCCAUACACCUGCCUUUCUGUAAGGGUUUUUUUUGGUGAAAACCCAGAUUCAACAUCUAAAAAGAUUGUUAGUGGAUAAAAGCCCAACUGCAGGCUCUAGCAUACAAAAGAUAGGCACUGAGCAAAAUGGGUUGGCCAGUAAAGAAAGGGAAAAAAAGAAAAAAUUUGUUAUAAAGAAUUUGAAGCAUUGCUGGUGCGUAGGAUUGCAGGUGGUGGCUGUGAUUUAAAGUUUUUUUUUUUUGUUUAAAAAUAUAUUAAAAUGGAUAGUUUUUAGUUUUUAAAAAUUAUUUUUAAGAUUAAUGUAUUAAAAUAUUUUUUUAAAAAAUAUUUUUUAAUAAAAUAAUUUUAUUUUAUUUUUAAAAAAAUAUAAUUUCAACAACGAUUUCUAAAACGUCUUUAAAUCAAUCCAGGAUUACUACGUCAACUCAUGCAGACUAACAAAUAGAAAAAAAUAAUAUUUUUUUGACAAAAAUUGAAUUGAAAAACUAUGUUUACACGGCAAACUCGUAAUGAAGACUUGCUACUUGACUUGUCUGUUUUCCCACACUGUGGAAAUUCUAGAACAUGGCUCAAAUUCUCUCCCCAAAACAAUAAUACAUAAUUAAAAAAUAAAGGCAUAAGGAAUCACGGAACCCAUGGAGAAAACUUAAUCAAAACCCCUUUCCUGGAUAACAAUAGUAUACUAAAUCAAGUAUAAAGAACCGGGUACAUGAAAUAUUGAUACAAGAAACUCAACAGCUCGAGCUUGGAAAGAACGAAGAAAGGACUCAUGAAUUCUAUAUUUUGGUCAUACAAACAAGAGUUUUAAUUCCAUAUUCCAUGCUUUAGGUUCUAUCAAGGAAGACUUGACAAAUACUACAAUCAGAGACAAUUUAGUGGUCCAUCGGAAGAAUUAAAACUUACGAAAAAAAGAAGAAAAAAGGAGUGAAUUUUUAUGAUUCCACAAAUUUACAUUUUCAAAAUUUAGAAAAACAACGUCUGGACGCGUUUCCAAACCAAACCUUAAACCCACUUAACGGGCAAAAAGACUUGCCCCGUUCAACAAGGAAGCUAAAAUGUCGAGAUUGGAAGGGAACUGCCCUGCAGGAGGGCUAUAUAAACAAGCCAGAUUAUCAAUGUCUAGCAUCCAUAAGUUCUCCUCUCGAACCCACAAGUGAAGGAGAGUCCUAGAUUUCAUGUCUACAAUGACAGCUAGAAGUUUUCCGAUUUUUGUAGCCAUUUUACUUCUUGUCGCGAUGCAAUCACGCACCAUUCAAUCGAAACCAAGUGGAGAUCCUUUUGGGUUCAUCAAACACCUGGAGGGAUGCCACAAGAAUGAAUCUGUCAAAGGGCUUCACGAGCUAAAAAGAUAUCUUGAGAAAUUUGGAUACUUGAAGUAUGGUCAUCAAGGAAAGAAGGGCCAUGACCAUGCCAAUGACGAUG
RNAcentral lists this long non-coding RNA (6253 nucleotides) under Populus tremula. RNAcentral describes it as "long non-coding RNA (PTRE_LNC002726)". Lineage: Eukaryota; Viridiplantae; Streptophyta; Magnoliopsida; Malpighiales; Salicaceae. The record is from RNAcentral.